UCGUAGCUACUUGGGAGGCUGAGGCACAAGAAUCACUUGAACCCGGGAGUUGAAGCUUGCAGUGAGCCGAGAUCACACGAGUGCAGUCCAGCCAGGGCGACAUAGUAAGACACCAUCUCAAAAAAAAAAAAAAAAAAAAGAAAAAAAAGGAGAACCCAUUAUGAGGCACUGGGCUGGGGUGGAGAAUCCAGAGAUGGACAGAAAGGACAAGAUGCCACCUUUGAGGCAGCUUACACUUUGGUGAGGUUCACAGAUGAUGCACUAAUAAAUAAAUAAUUUGUAAUGAGAAUUGCUAUUAAGGAAUCAAUUGGGGGCGGGUAGUACCUACUUAGAUAAAAUAGGCAGGAAAGGCUUCUGCAGUAUUUCAUCUGAGCCCGAUAUGGAAAGCAAGUAAUGCAUAUUUCCGGCAGAGGAAGCAAAUUGCUUUAAGGUGAGAAAGAGCUCCGCAUGCCUGAAGAACUGAAAAAAGACCCGUGUGCCUGGUAAAUGGCACAGCUGAAUUUGGAGACAUAGGCAGUGUCAGCUCAUGCAGAAGCUUCACAGCUGGGAAAAGUGCUUUGAAUUCUUAGUACAAAAGAAAACCAAUGAGAGUGUGAGUGUGUGUGUAUUCAGUGUGUGUGUGUGUGUGUGUGCACAUGUAUACAUCUGUACACACAUACACAUGCAUACAGUUGACCCUUGAACAGGUGCCAACCCCCACCCGACAGCUGAAAAUUCGCCCAUAAGUUUUGACGUUCCUAAAUGUAACUCUUGUUGACCGAAAGCCUCAAGUACUAUUGAGCCUCCUGUUGACUGAAAGCCUUACUGAUAACAUAAACAGUUGAUUAACUCAUAGUUUGUGUGUUAUAUGCAUUAUAUACUCUAUUCUUACAAUAAAGUAAGCCAGAGAAAAGAAAAUAUUAUGGAGAAAAUUUAAGGAGGAGGAGAAAGAGGAGGGCUGGGUCUUGGGAUCUCAGGGGUGGUAGAGGCAGAAGAAUAUCCACGUGUAAGUGGACCUGAAUAGUUCAAACCCAUGUUGUUUGAGGGUCAACUGUGCAUACACAUGUUUAAAUGUCUGCAUAGACAUCAAUAACUCCAACUACUGCAUAGAGAACAGACUAGGAGGAGCAAUGGGGGGCGGGGUGAAAAGAAGGGUGAGGUGGUGGCCCCGUGAACUGAAGUGAUGGCAGUAAAGAUGGAGACAAAAAUAACCUUGAGAGAAAUAUUCUGGAGGUUGAAGCAACCGCAGCCGUGGAUGGACGAGAGGAAGGCAUAAGGGGCAGCAAGACAUCGGGUGUGAUUUGGGUUUCUGGCUUGAGCAGCAUGGCAGAGGACUAUCAAAGAUGGUCAGAGAGGCUCACAACACCAUAGCGAAACCGAAACCUCAUUACAGGCAGCGAAGGCAGAACUGCAGUCGCAGAAAACAGAACUACGAGGCUGAGGGCAAACCAGAGAGUCCCCACCACACAGGGAAACAGGAACAGAGAUGACGAUGGUGAGAAAGAAGACGGCAGAGAAUGCAAAGAUGCCUUGUGAACCAGAUUGGCAUUUCUGAAAAAGAAACCAGAGUAACUGAAGAAAAACAACAGUCAGAAAUAUACAUGCAGUUCCCAGAAAUGAACACCUGUGUCUAAAAUUGUCCACCCUUUGCCAAGGAAAAUUAGAAUCCAAAAUAUGACUAUUUCAUCCAGAAAUGCUUGAAUUUCCUAAAUGAAUAAUCAAAAAACAGUUUUAACUUACUCAUAGAGAAAAAAGCAAAGUCAGUGUGGCACUUACCAGGAGACAAUAGAACUGUGUCUGUAUUUUGAAGCUUAACAAGUAUGACUCAUGAAUUCUACAGCAAGCCACCUUGUUACUCAUGUGAGCAGGCAACAAAAAGAUAUUGUCACAUCUGCAAGAACUAAGAAAAUGUACCAUCUACAUGUCCUUACCCAACUCUGUCUAACAAGGGCGAUUCCAGAACAAGGUCAUGACAUAAAAGGAGUCGGAACCCAGGUGAGGCGACAAGAGCUGAGCUCAGGUUCUCGGCCUCGGAACUCUCAUGGGGAGGCGCCAGCAUGGGCACCCUCCACAGUUCGGGCCCCUCACUCACAAACCUGGCACAUCGAAACAAGCUGGCAAAAAGGUCUGCAAGUCUGCUGGAACCUGGCACGCAGUGACCCUCCUGCCCAGCCACCCGGUUCCUGAGCUUCCUCUUCAUGCAAGAGUCCACUUGUAAAACAAACAACAGGCUUAGAAUUGUUCGUCCCCUUCACCACCAGAGCCUGGCAACCAUGCAUUACCCAACAUCGGUUACCAUGACUGCAAGGAGGCAGCAGACAGCAAGCCCACAGAAGUGUGUACUGAAGAAAGGGAAUUCAACAGCUCCUGGAGUUAACAAGUGACUGUUAUUUACGGAAGGAAUGGUGUUUGCAGAUGGGAAUGACUGCAAAAUGCAUAGAAGGACACAGCCAUGCCCUUUCCACAGAAGUCACAGAACACACCUCAACACACCGAGAAGACGUCCAUGACAGGAAAAGAUGACGAAGGUCUCCUUUCUUCCACAUCGUAGAAGAUUUUCUGCCAUAAAGUCAUUAUAUUCUAUAGUUGUUUAUGUCUUCGGCAUUUUGGAGAUAGCUUUUCUCAUGAAGUGAAGACUGGCUCAGAUUGUUUGACUAACUGCAAGAAUUGUGGAAAUGGGAGGAAGAAUUCAUGAAGGAUGCCUCCCUUACCUGUAUAGAGUUGUUUUCAUUGAUAAAUGGUUGUGAUCUGUAAAACUGCGGAUAUCGACAUUUAUUUAAGGAGAACGAGCUGUAUUUGGGCAGAUUUGGCUUUGAAUUCUGUCUCUACCUCUUAGAGACUGUGCGACAAUUGUUAUUUAAUGUCUGAGUCUCAAAUGUCUCGUCUGUAAACUGAUUCUAACACUUACACUGAAUGCCGUGCUUACAUUACAGGAUGUCCAUGUUCUUCUAAUCGUGCCUUUCUAGUUUCUGUAUUCUCUGAUGUUUUGACUUCUGGGGUCUUGCUGAUCCUGGAGAGACUCCCCCUCCCAGGGCUGGUCAGUUCCUAGUAGUGGUAAGGGACUCACCUGCAAGUAUGCCUUUUGUAUGCAAGCCACCAAUCCAAAGCCCAUCCCUCCAGUGACCCCCUUUAUCUGGCUCUCACUUGCAGAGCCACUAUCCCCCUGCCCUAAUCACCCCAGGGACAGAUAUUAAACAACUAGAAAUAGCCACGAUGCCCUAGAGCCUGGUGAAAUUAUUUAAAAUGGGUAAUACUACACCUGCUUGCCUGCCCUACAUUUCCCCCUCACAACCCAUAAUAAAGUCUCUUGCCCACAUUUUCUUCUCAUUCCCUCUGCCUCCCGACUCAUCCUGGUGCUUCCCCACGUGGCCCUGCUUGGCAUAGUGUGACCGCUGCUCUUCAACUGUGAGUAACACACUCUCUACGGAAUGGCAGUCAUCUCCUGACCCAUUUCCCUCACCAUACCCGAAUAAUAAUAAAACCUACUGUCUCAGCCUGUUUGGGCUGCUGUAACAAAAUGCUGUAGACUGAGUGACUUAAACAGUAAAUAUUUAUUUCUCACACUUCUGGAGGCAGGGGAGUUCACAGUCAAGGCACUGAAAGACUCAGUGUCUGCUGAGAACCUGCUUCCUGGCUCAUGGGCAGCCAGCUUUUUCUCUGUGGCUGGAAGAAGCCAAAGCAUUCUCUAAGGUCUCUUUUAUAAUAGCAUUAAUCUGUUCAUGGGGCCUCCACCCUCAUGAUAUAGGUGGACCCCCAGUGAAUAACCUCACCUCUGAGUGCCAUCACACUGGGGGUUAGGACUGUGAUACAUGCACUUGGAGGAGACACACACAUUCAAUCCACAACAUUCAUGAUGUAAAAACACAUGCCCCAAUCUCUGGAACCUGUGAAUAUUACCUUGUGUGGCAAAAGGGACUUCACAGGUGCGAAGAAAACAUGAAUCUUGAGAUGGGAGAUUAUCUUGGGUUAGCCAGGUGGGCCUGGUGUGAUCACGAGGAUCCUUAGAAGGGAGAGGCAGGAGAUCAGCAUGAGUAGCAGAGAAGGGUGAGGCCAUGAGCCAAGGAAUGCUGAUGGCUUCUAGAAGCUGGAAGAGGUGGGGAAUGAAUUCUCCCCUGGAACCUU
Molecule: long non-coding RNA, 4101 nt
Organism: Piliocolobus tephrosceles (Ugandan red Colobus)
Lineage: Eukaryota; Metazoa; Chordata; Mammalia; Primates; Cercopithecidae
Exons: 4
Source: RefSeq, a predicted model, not a curated record